UACAGCAUAUGCUGUAUGCAGGUCUAGAAUUUUCUCUUUUUUUUAUGGACAUUCUGUAAAUAUAUUUACAAUCCAUAAAUCUGAAGAUUUUUCAGUAUAAAUUUAUAGACUGGUUGUAUGAGAUCUGUUAAAAUUACAAUUUAAAUCAUAACUGCAAGUUAAAAUGAAAUUUUUCACUCAUUACAAUGUAGAUUAAAAACAUAGAAAUUAUUUCAUACAGAUGGAUCACUUUAUUUUUUUCACAUUUUCCAAAAUUCAAAGUUGUCAAUAUUGACAGAAAAUCACACAAAAAUACCCCUUCUUAUGCAUUCUAAGUUUAACCCUGCAGUUUUGACCAAUUUUUAGAAGGAUAAUAUGCCCCCUGCCCCCCACCCUACCCCCGCCCGAUCAUACCUGGGACCUACGCUUAAGCAAAUUAUGUAUUUAUGAGGGUACAUCAGAAAUACUGAUGACCUGAACUUCAAACUUCUGAAAAAUAAGCUUGUUUCUUGAAAUAAAUUAGGUUAGAUCUAUUUUAGUGUCAAUAUUUUGUUGUUGUUGUUGUUGUUGUAGUAUUUCAUUAUGUAAAGCUGAUUUCGUAGCGAUAGGUUCGAAUCUAUAUUUUGCCAUUAUAAUUUCGUUUAUUUCAAUUUAAGUUGUCGAAUAUACUGUAACAUCAUUGAACAUAAAUAUUUUUUCGUAAAUUUACUUCGAGUAUCUCCUUCUUAAAAAGAAACGUUGAUUCGGAUGUAGGCCUACUGACACCUGAAUAUCUGCAUGCGCGCCGAAUGUUUACUAAGUCCGUUAGUAUUUUUGGUGUCUCUCGGCGAUACUGUUACACAUUAGAACAACUGAAUAAAAUCUCCUUUCAGUUAACUAUCGAUAUAUCUGGUGUUUUACGUAAGACUGAGUCCCAAUAUUAUUGCGCAUUCGGUAGCAAAGAUGUUGACACCACAUGUCGUCUGAUGAUGACUUUUACGGAUCGAAUAAGGUUUGGUCAUUGUAUUCCCUGAAAGGAAUGAGAGGAGAAAAGGAACUGGAAGACCUGGCUAUCUGCAGGCCAAUGCUGGCUGCAGGUCAAUAUUGAAUGCUCUUAUGAAAACUCAUAAGACAAUAACAAAAAAAAAAAGAAGCUGAGGAUGCUGUUUUUAAAACAUGCUCCAUUCAAAAAAGGUGGAUUGAAAUUUAAGAAAGGUGUGACGGUUGCGUCUGCUGCAGGCAGGGAGGAUUUGACGGUCAGCCAGAGGAUUUGGAGAUAUACUGUAAUGUCUUUAAUGUGGACUUGCGUGUGAUUUAAGUUUUCACAAGGGUUUUAGUGUGUGUGAAAGUAUGUCAGUUUUCAAAAUUGAGCUAUGUCAAUUUGCUCAAACUACAUAACUCAAAGAACUUUGAAGCGGUCUUGUUGACGUCAUGAGCU
This is a long non-coding RNA of Mercenaria mercenaria, 1396 nucleotides long. RefSeq lists it as uncharacterized. NCBI's taxonomy places the organism in Eukaryota, Metazoa, Mollusca, Bivalvia, Venerida, Veneridae. The record is from RefSeq and is a predicted model, not a curated record. The transcript is spliced from 4 exons.